ACUGUAGAAAAUUGGCUGAUAGUGAAGCCUAGAGAGCAUUUAGAGCAGUCCGAUAGAUGAUUGAAGGAGCUCAUUAUCGGAGAAGUUUGGAGGGUAUGAUAGGAGUUCGUUCGUUGGAGGAAUCUGGGAGACACUAUGGAAGGUCGACUGCUGGAGGAGUUCGGAUGGUACUAUGGAAGCUUGGACGGUCGGGGGAGUUCAGAAAGAUAUCGCACAAGGUCAGAAGUCGGAAGAGUCCUGGGAGGGUUGGCCUCUUACAAACUUCGGCUGGGGUUAUUUUAUACCCA
Molecule: long non-coding RNA, 287 nt
Filed under: Elaeis guineensis (African oil palm)
Lineage: Eukaryota; Viridiplantae; Streptophyta; Magnoliopsida; Arecales; Arecaceae
Description: long non-coding RNA (EGUI_LNC070627)
Source: RNAcentral